RNAcentral lists this ribosomal RNA (440 nucleotides) under uncultured bacterium. Its description in RNAcentral is "partial 16S ribosomal RNA". It matches the Rfam family "Bacterial small subunit ribosomal RNA", at positions 338 to 795 of the family's 1533-position model. The record is from RNAcentral.
CCUACGGGUGGCAGCAGUGGGGGAUAUUGCACAAUGGGGGGAACCCUGAUGCAGCGACGCCGCGUGGGUGAAGAAGGGCCUCGGGGUGUAAAGCCAUGUCAGCAGGGGACAAAAUGACGGUACCUGAGAAAGAAGGCUCGGACAAGUACGUUCCAGCAGCCACGGGAAUACGUAGGGGGCCAGCGUUAGCCGGAAAUAACGGGGGGAAAGGGGGACGAGACGGCGAAGCAAGCUAGGGGUGAAAGCCCACGGCCCAACCCCGGGCCUGCUCUUGCAACUGCGGGGCUGGAGGGAAGUAGAGGCAGGCGGAAUUCCUGGUGUAGCGGUGAAAUGCGUAGAUAUUAGGAGGAACACCGGUGGCGAAGGCGGCCUGCUGGGCUGCAACUGACGUUGAGGCCCGAAAGCGUGGGGAGCAAACAGGAUUAGAUACCCCUGUAGUC